RNAcentral lists this ribosomal RNA (465 nucleotides) under uncultured Weissella sp. RNAcentral describes it as "bacterial SSU rRNA". It matches the Rfam family "Bacterial small subunit ribosomal RNA", at positions 338 to 795 of the family's 1533-position model. The record is from RNAcentral. Lineage: Bacteria; Bacillati; Bacillota; Bacilli; Lactobacillales; Lactobacillaceae.
CCUACGGGAGGCAGCAGUAGGGAAUCUUCCACAAUGGACGAAAGUCUGAUGGAGCAACGCCGCGUGUGGGAUGAAGGGUUUCGGCUCGUAAAACACUGUUGUAAGAGAAGAAUGACAUUGAGAGUAACUGUGCAGUGUGUGACGGUAUCUUACCAGAAAGGAACGGCUAAAUACGUGCCAGCAGCCGCGGUAAUACGUAUGUUCCAAGCGUUAUCCGGAAUUAUUGGGCGUAAAGCGAGCGCAGACGGUUGUUUAAGCCCGAAGUGAAAGGCCACGGCUUAACCGUGGAAGUGCUUUGGAAACUGGAGAACUAGAGUGUGGUAGAGGGAAGUGGAACUCCAUGUGUAGCGGUGAAAUGCGUAGAUAUAUGGAAGAACACCAGUGGCGAAGGCGGCUCUCUGGACUGUAACUGACGUUGAGGCUCGAAAGUGUGGGUAGCAAACAGGAUUAGAUACCCUAGUAGUC